RNAcentral lists this small RNA (28 nucleotides) under Bombyx mori (domestic silkworm). RNAcentral describes it as "ovarian small RNA-29185". Lineage: Eukaryota; Metazoa; Arthropoda; Insecta; Lepidoptera; Bombycidae. The record is from RNAcentral.
UCGUAGUUUGUCCACGCUCAGUGCUGGA